This 253-nucleotide ribosomal RNA is filed under the name uncultured bacterium. RNAcentral's name for it is "partial 16S ribosomal RNA". It matches the Rfam family "Bacterial small subunit ribosomal RNA", at positions 524 to 776 of the family's 1533-position model. The record is from RNAcentral.
UACAGAGGUCUCAAGCGUUGUUCGGAUUCAUUGGGCGUAAAGCGCGCGCAGGCGGGAAGGUAAGUCUGGAGUGAAAUUCCGGGGCUCAACUCCGGAGCUGCUUUGGAUACUGUCUUUCUAGGGACCGGUAGAGGCCGGUGGAAUUCCCGGUGCAGCGGUGGAAUGCGUAGAGAUCGGGAAGAACACCCGUGGCGAAGGCGGCCGGCUGGGCCGGAUCCGACGCUGAGGCGCGAAAGCGUGGGGAGCAAACAGG